RNAcentral lists this unclassified non-coding RNA (391 nucleotides) under soil metagenome. RNAcentral's name for it is "partial contains 5.8S ribosomal RNA, internal transcribed spacer 2, and large subunit ribosomal RNA". The stretch from base 1 to 122 matches the Rfam family "5.8S ribosomal RNA", at positions 35 to 154 of the family's 154-position model. The record is from RNAcentral.
GAUGAAGAACGCAGCGAAAUGCGAUACUUGGUGUGAAUUGCAGAAUCCCGUGAACCAUCGAGUCUUUGAACGCAAGUUGCGCCCGAAGCCAUUAGGCCGAGGGCACGCCUGCCUGGGCGUCACACGUCGUUGCCCCCCCAUCUACUCCUUCGGGAUUGCGGGGGGCGGAUGAUGGCCUCCCGUGCGCCUCGUCGCGCGGUUGGCAUAAAUGCCAAGUCCUCGGCGACACACGCCACGACAAUCGGUGGUUGCGAAACCUCGGUUGCCCGUCGUGUGCGGUCGUCGCGCAUCGAGGGCUCGAAAAAAUUGCCGGGCUCCGGCUCGGCUUUCAACGCGACCCCAGGUCAGGCGGGGUUACCCGCUGAAUUUAAGCAUAUCAAUAAGCGGAGGA